RNAcentral lists this ribosomal RNA (141 nucleotides) under uncultured bacterium. Its description in RNAcentral is "partial 16S rRNA". It matches the Rfam family "Bacterial small subunit ribosomal RNA", at positions 355 to 511 of the family's 1533-position model. The record is from RNAcentral.
UGGGGAAUUUUCCGCAAUGGGCGAAAGCCUGACGGAGCAAUGCCGCGUGGAGGUGGAAGGCCUACGGGUCGUCAACUUCUUUUCUCGGAGAAGAAACAAUGACGGUAUCUGAGGAAUAAGCAUCGGCUAACUCCGUGCCAG